Ananas comosus (pineapple) is the source of this 728-nucleotide long non-coding RNA. RefSeq lists it as uncharacterized. The record is from RefSeq and is a predicted model, not a curated record. NCBI's taxonomy places the organism in Eukaryota, Viridiplantae, Streptophyta, Magnoliopsida, Poales, Bromeliaceae. The transcript has 3 exons.
GUUACAACCACAACACCAUUCACAGGUUGUUUUGAAAUGUAAGUGAACUGAACUAAAUGAAUUGAACCACUGGUUAGGUUGACCAUAGGAUGACCAUAAAAUCGUAGGCACGUACGAGCGCGGGGUAUACGAGAUUUAGUCUCGAGGUUAUCGAGCUGGUAGGUUUGAGGGUUGAUUUGUGUUUAUUACCUCGUGUUGUUGUGCUACAGGUUAUGGCAUGUGCUUGUUUUGGUGUUAGGAGUGGGGACAAUGAGCAGACUAGUUCUGAGCAGUGAGGUGUCAUCAGACUGCUACUGGUAUUGUUACUGCCCCACCUCCAACACGGGACAAUGAGCAGACUAGUUUUGGACCCGAGAUUGAUACUCGAGUAUAUUCCACUGGAUUUGGGAUCUACCUUCAUCGAAUUUGAGCUUUAGAAGAUCCUUGGAGAAAGUUGAGUUUGGACCAGAGGGUGAUAUUCCAUCUUGGUUUACUGGUUUUGGGACUUUGCUACACCUGAUUUGGGAUUUGAAAGAGCCUUGGAGAAAUAUUGUUGCUGUUGCAGCGUGAUCUCGGUUGAACCUCCUGUUGUUUUCGGGACCUUCUUGCUGCCGUGGAAUUGCUUUGGAGGUGGGUUAAUCAUCGGUUUUACUUCCUAAGCAUGUGCAUAGUAGACAUGUAUAAUUUUCAGCUUUGGUAUAUUAUGUUUAGCUCAAAUUCAGUGAUUAGUAUAGUAUAUGAAAUCUGAU